GAUGAACGCUGGCGGCGUGCCUAAUACAUGCAAGUCGAGCGGUAAGGUCCCUUCGGGGAUACACGAGCGGCGGACGGCUGAGUAACACGUAGGAACGUACCCCAAAGUGAGGGAUAAGCACCAGAAAUGGUGUCUAAUACCGCAUGUGCUCUAAGGAGUAAAGCUUCGGCGCUUUGGGAACGGCCUGCGUCCGAUUAGCUAGCUGGUGAGGUAAUAGCUCACCAAGGCGACGAUCGGUAGCUGGUCUGAGAGGAUGAUCAGCCAGGCUGGGACUGAGACACGGCCCAGACUCCUACGGGAGGCAGCAGUAGGGAAUUUUCCACAAUGGGCGAAAGCCUGAUGGAGCAACGCCGCGUGCAGGAUGAAUGCCUUCGGGUUGUAAACUGCUUUUAUAUGUGACGAUUAUGACGGUAACAUAUGAAUAAGGAUCGGCUAACUCCGUGCCAGCCGCCGCCGUAA
Molecule: ribosomal RNA, 459 nt
Filed under: uncultured bacterium
Lineage: Bacteria
Description: partial 16S ribosomal RNA
Rfam family: Bacterial small subunit ribosomal RNA
Source: RNAcentral